Molecule: long non-coding RNA, 1031 nt
Organism: Chenopodium quinoa (quinoa)
Lineage: Eukaryota; Viridiplantae; Streptophyta; Magnoliopsida; Caryophyllales; Amaranthaceae
Exons: 2
Source: RefSeq, a predicted model, not a curated record
GGACCAUAGCAUUUUGGACUCUACUAGCCUUACACAAAAACGCGAGAAAGGAAAGCACAACGUGGUAAAACAACUGAAAAAUGGCAUUGACGACAGUGGCUGGUGUUAGCGCCGCCAUACUUCAACUCCGUAGCGACGUCAAGAGUUCCACCGCCAUCUUCCGCCGUGACGUCCGCCAAAUUCGUAAUUGGAUCGAAGAAGAAUCUCUCUCCUCUUCUUCUAAGGCAGGAGCGAAAGUUAAACCUAAGCAAGUGGAAGGACAGGUUCAUGAGAAGGAAACUCCCAAGGACAAUAAGCACUAAAAACUUGAUGAGUUGUCUGCGGGAAGAACACGGAUCUCUUGAGGCUCUUUUUGUGAUAUGUCCUGUAUAGACUUGAAUUUUGUUUAGUUCUAGUAGCAUGUUAAAAUUUUUGACAUUAUACAUGGUGCUGCGAGAUAUUGGAACCCAUUUGCCUAUAGCCUAUUGCUUGGUAGUUCUGUUAGGUUGGUAUUCUUCUGAAUAUUGGAAUAUUUUAGGUGAUCAUUGUUCUUGUGUAAUAAGAGUUGGAAAAGGUACUGGUUGGAUAAGUGUGUUCUUAGUAAGGAUUGUAAAUAUGAUCAACGCUCAUACCUUGUGGCUGUGUAGUUUAACAAGUGAGACUGAAGAGAUGAAAUGAUGGAUUGUUCAGGUUAUAUGGUUCCCAAUCUGCUCAAACUACUCUACAGUUUUGAGGUGUAAUUUUGCAAUUCUAAUGUUGAAGAUGAAGCACUUGGUGCAGAGGUUGUAGUGUUGCUGCUAAAACUUUCAAAUAAUUUUUUUUAUUCGAGUUUCAGAAUUUUCUAGAAUAUUUGGACAUUAGUCUGGAGUAAUUGUUUUGGUGUUUGUGUGUUUAUUGUGACCUUGAAAUGGUUGAUUAUAUUUUACACGUGUUUGUCUUAUUUUCUAGUGAAUUGGGUAUAUUCAUUAGCUCAUUCAUAACAAUAAUAAAGUGCCAUUGGCGGUGUAAUAACUAUGCAUUUUGGCUCUCAAGUCUCAACAUCCUCAUUCUUA